This 1695-nucleotide long non-coding RNA is filed under the name Olea europaea (common olive). Its description in RNAcentral is "long non-coding RNA (OEUR_LNC004421)". Lineage: Eukaryota; Viridiplantae; Streptophyta; Magnoliopsida; Lamiales; Oleaceae. The record is from RNAcentral.
UCGUGGAUGCACCAAGAUAAACCAGCCACCCCUAGUUACAUAGUUCUUCACGCUCCCGAAAUUCGAAUCUUACUUCAUGUCAUAAGGUAUUAAGAUUUACUUUUAUUUUAUUAUUUCUAUUUAAUAGUGGAUUUAAUUGGGUUCUAGAAAUCAUAUAGUUUCAUUUAAUCGUUAAGAAGUUUAAUUUAUUGUUCCUGUACAUGUCUUUGUAUAUAUAGUAUGCAAAUAUAUAUUUUCUUCACACCAUCCAUUUCUUCGUUGUUCUUGUGCCAAUUAUUAAUAAUUAAUUAUUGUUUCAUUACCUGAUUUCUACUACUUGGCUGAUGUGGUCAUCUAUUUGGUUAUAUAUAGGUAAAGUUUGUGUAAUAAUUUACUAUAGUGACAGAGAUUAAUAAGUUGUUCUUAAACACAUCUUUUAAUUAGGUUAUAGAGACUGUUGCUUUAAAAUCUACCUAGAGAGUAUAUGUGAAUAUUUAGUUUUCCUCAUCAAGAUUUUAAACAAGAUACUCAUGUUGAAGUCCAUCAAAAGAAUCCUUGAAAAAAAUAAGUAAUUCUUAUCUAUAUUAAUUAUUUAUUUCUUACUUAAAUUCAUCUGCUAAGAUUAACACAAACAUAACCAAAUCAACUUGAUUCUUAUUGUACCCGUUGUUAAAUUUUAAAACUAUUUGCACAUGUAGUGGAAUUGAUAUAGAUUUAUUUCUGUGAAAUUUUGUGAACAUUAGAUAAAGAGUGUGGUCCUAAUUGCUAAUUAUGAGAUUGUUUCGCGCAGGUUAAGUCGCUAACAAUUAAAAAGGAUCAGACGAUUGUGUAAGGGACGAAACCUCUUGAGACAAAGUCCCAAAAAGGGGUGUUCUUUUAUUGGCGAUGAACUUUACAAUUGGGAAUGAAAAACAACAUGCCUCCAAGGGGCGCAAGCACACGAGUUACAGAAAGAAAAAUGUUUAAGUCCAAAAGCUAAGGAAAUGAAAAUUACAUAUUCUCUAUUCGAGAGUUUUGGAUUCCUCUUUUGCUUCUGCGUCCUUUCUCCCUUUUAUACCUCAUAGACGAUCUCUUUAUGAUUAACUACCCUAAAAACUGCUUGAUCGUUCUAUAACUACCCACUUUCUUUGUAGUGGCCAUUUUGUCAUGAAACUGCCUUUUAACUGCUGCCAUUAUCUUUCAUCGUUCAACUGCUUUCGAUUGAAUUCCUUGAGUCGUGGAACGUGAUAAGGCUACUUUAACAACUGCCUUGAUAACUGCAUUCCUUGAUAACCACGAUGCGUUAUAUUUGUUGAUACCUUGGGCGACUUGAAGGUUUGGGCGAGAGUAGAAUAACAGCUCUGGGCGACCGUAUGACACUCCAUUCAUUCAGAUUCUGGGCGACUUGCAAACUUGGGCGAUGGCGUUACCGCAUUCUUGGGCCCCUUAUUUGGGCCUUCUCCUUGAUUCGUUCGAUUGGACUUCGUUCUUUGGGCUAUCCGAUUUGGGGUCCUUCAAUUGGGCUUUACUCCUUGGGCUGUUCGAUUUGGGCUGAAUUUUUAUGUGUCAACAGAGAUCUAAUCACACGUUAACAUGACUUUUCUAUUGAUUCUUGUCGUCCUUGUAUUUGUCUCUCUUUAAUGACUUCUUCUUUUCGCCUAUACUUCGUAAGCAUCUUGCUGUAAGUUCAUUAUCAUAAGGUGGUGGUAUCGAAGAUAAUAUAAAUUCAACUCUUAC